AGUGUCGCUUCCUUUAUGAAAUGUCAAAACUCCUUCUGAAGUCCUCUAUAAGGAAGCCAUCCUUCUCAGACAUCGUGUGAACUUGGCUUUUCUGGACCUCAGUUUACCCACCCCUCACCACUCCUGUGAGUGGUUUGUGGGGGGGGGGCAUAUAGCUUAGUGGUUAAGGGCAGGCGUUCUGGAAUGCACUGUGUGGGCUUGAGUUCUGUCUUCUCCUUUUUACUGUCUGUGAUCUUGGCAGCUGCAGCAAUUCAUCCUUAUCCCAGGACAAAGAUGCUUAUACAGAUGUGGUGUCAGCAGGAGAGAUGGACUGUUUGGCUGCAGACCCACUAGAUGGCCCCUCCUUUGGCGUGGAAGUGCUCACACCUCAAUAAAAGCCAAAACCACCUUUGAGUUGUACCUAAAGCCAGUUAAAAUCCCUAAACUCCAGCCUACUCCUAAACCCUUCCACCCGAAUCAAAACUAGGUCUUUUCAUUGUGCACAGAGCCAGCCUGAUCUCUCUCUCACUGUUCUCUCCCCCUCUCCUUGAGGUUAACUUGCCCAAUUAAAACUCUGACUGUGUGUUCCUAUCCCCUGA
Molecule: non-coding RNA, 578 nt
Organism: Marmota flaviventris (yellow-bellied marmot)
Lineage: Eukaryota; Metazoa; Chordata; Mammalia; Rodentia; Sciuridae
Source: RefSeq, a predicted model, not a curated record